RNAcentral lists this ribosomal RNA (301 nucleotides) under uncultured bacterium. RNAcentral describes it as "partial 16S ribosomal RNA". It matches the Rfam family "Bacterial small subunit ribosomal RNA", at positions 509 to 809 of the family's 1533-position model. The record is from RNAcentral.
CAGUCGCCACGGGAAUACGAAGGGGGCUAGCGUUGCUCGGAAUUACUGGGCGUAAAGGGAGCGUAGGCGGACAUUUAAGUCAGGGGUGAAAUCCCAGAGCUCAACUCUGGAACUGCCUUUGAUACUGGGUGUCUUGAGUGUGAUAGAGGUAUGUGGAACUCCGAGUGUAGAGGUGAAAUUCGUAGAUAUUCGGAAGAACACCAGUGGCGAAGGCGACAUACUGGAUCAUUACUGACGCUGAGGCUCGAAAGCGUGGGGAGCAAACAGGAUUAGAUACCCCAGUAGUCCCUGUCUCUUAUAA